This 478-nucleotide ribosomal RNA is filed under the name uncultured Planctomycetales bacterium. RNAcentral's name for it is "bacterial SSU rRNA". It matches the Rfam family "Bacterial small subunit ribosomal RNA", at positions 364 to 832 of the family's 1533-position model. The record is from RNAcentral. Lineage: Bacteria; Pseudomonadati; Planctomycetota; Planctomycetia; Planctomycetales.
UUUCGCAAUGCCCGAAAGGGUGACGAGGCGACGCCGCGUGUGGGAAGAAGGCCUUCGGGUUGUAAACCACUGUCGGGAGUUAGGAAAUGCAGGUGCGUUAAUAGCGCACUUGCUUGACUAAGGCUCCAGAGGAAGCCACGGCUAACUCUGUGCCAGCAGCCGCGGUAAUACAGAGGCGGCAAGCGUUGUUCGGAAUUAUUGGGCGUAAAGAGCACGUAGGCGGCCUUGCAAGUCAGUUGUGAAAGCCUUCCGCUUAACGGAAGAACGGCAUCUGAUACUACAGGGCUUGAGUACGGGAGGGGAGAGUGGAACUUCUGGUGGAGCGGUGAAAUGCGUAGAUAUCAGAAGGAACGCCGGCGGCGAAAGCGACUCUCUGGUCCGAAACUAACGCUGAGUGUGCGAAAGCUAGGGGAGCAAACGGGAUUAGAUACCCCGGUAGUCCUAGCCGUAAACGAUGGGCACUAAGUAGAGGGGUUUU